GAUGAAGAACGUAGCGAAAUGCGAUAAGUAGUGUGAAUUGCAGAAUUCCGUGAAUCAUCGAAUCUUUGAACGCACAUUGCGCCUUCUGGUAUUCCGGAAGGCAUGCCUGUUCGAGAGUCAUUAACAACCGUUUCGAUCCCUUUCUUUCAGAAAUUACAAAGAGGAAAAGGGUUUGGUUAUGGUGGAGGAGGGAAAGGGAGCGUUUAGCCUGUAAAAAAAGAGGCUGUGUUCCGCCUCCCCCCCAAAAUUGUACAGGCGGUCGUGUGCGCCCACGCAUCGAGGUGUUGUAAAAGCUGCCACGGCACUUUUCACCUGUGCAGUGCGAGAUUGGCCAGCCGGUUUAAAAACCCCUCCAAACAAUCAAAGGUUGACCUCGGAUCAGGUAGGGAUACCCGCUGAACUUAAGCAUAUCAAUAACGGAGGA
This 424-nucleotide unclassified non-coding RNA is filed under the name soil metagenome. RNAcentral's name for it is "partial contains 5.8S ribosomal RNA, internal transcribed spacer 2, and large subunit ribosomal RNA". The stretch from base 1 to 120 matches the Rfam family "5.8S ribosomal RNA", at positions 35 to 154 of the family's 154-position model. The record is from RNAcentral.